GGUUAAGCGACUAAGCGUACACGGUGGAUGCCACGGCGGUCAGAAGGCGAUGAAAAUUGUCUGCGAUAUAGCGCCGGUAAGGUGAUAUGAACAAGAUUAUAACCGGCAUUACCGAAUGGGAAACCCAGUGUGAUUCGUCACACUAUCAUUAACUGAAUCCCAUAGGUUAAUGAGGCGAACCGGGGAACUGAAACAUCUAAGUACCCCGAGGAAAGAAAUCAGCCGAGAUUCCCCAGUGGCGGCGAGCGAACGGGGAGGCAGAGGCCUGAAUCAGCAUAUGUGUUGAGUGGAAGCGUCUGGAAAGGCGCGCGUACAGGGUGACGGCCCAUGCACAUAGCCGCUGCAUGGCACCGGUAGUAGAGGCGGGACACGUGGUAUCCUGUCUACGAAUAUGGGGACCAUCACUCAAGGCUAAAUACUCCUGACGACCGAUAGUGAACCAGUACCAGAGGAAGGCGAAGAACCCCGGCGAGGUGAAAAAACCUGAAACCGUGUACGGCACACGAAGCGAGGUAGAGGCCCCACCACUAAGCCAGUGGUGAACUCCCACAUACGCAUCCCUUUGCUGAGGAUACGGUUAACGGGCGCAGCGACGUUCAACCUCAAAAAGCAGGGGGCUUAGUGGUGGGGUGACUGCAUGCCGCACAACAAUGGGUCAGCGACGCAUAUUCUGUAACGAGUUAACCGUAUAGGGGAGCGGAGAAACCGAAGUCUUAGUGGGCGGGUAGUUGCGGGGUAUGGAGCCAGAAACCCGGUGAUCUAGCCAUGGGCAGGUUGAAAGUUUGGUGGCAACUGGAGGACCGAACCGACUAAUAUUUGAAAAAUUAGCGGAUGGCUGGGGGUGAAAGGCCGGUAAAACCGGGAGAUAAGCUGGUUCUCCCCGAAAGCUAUUUAGGUAGCGCCUCGUGAAUUCAUCUCCGGGGGUAGAGCACUGUUUCGGCUAGGGGCCAUCCCGGCUUACCAAGCGAUGCAAACUGCAGGCCACCGGAGAAUGUUAUCACGGAGGCACACGGCGGGUGUAUGUCCGUCGUGAAAGAAGCUGGCAGACCGCCAGCUAAGGUCCCAAGUCAUGGUUAAGUGGAAUGAUAUUGGGAAGGCCCGAACAGCGAGGAUGUUGGCUUAGAAGCAGCCAUCAUUUAAAAGCGUAAUAACUCACUGGUCAAGUCGGCCUGCGCGGAAGAUGUAACGGGGCUAAACCACAUACUUUGGCUGCGGCAGCGCUGAUGCGUUGUUGGUAGGGGAGGCGUUCGCAGCAAGCCUGCGAAGGUGGCCUGGCGGGUUGCUGGAGGUAUCCAGAAGUGCGAAUAUGCUGACGCAAAAGUAACGAUAAAGCGGGUGAAAAACGCUCGCCGGAAAGACCAAGGGUUCCUGUCAGCAACGUUAAUCCGGGGCAGGGUAGAGUCGACCCCUAAGGCGAGGCCGAAAGGCGUAGUCGAUGAGGAAACGGGUUAGCUAUUCCCGUACCGGGUGUUUACUGCGAAGGGGCGGAGAAGACGCUAUGUUGGCCGGGCGACUUGCGUUUGUGAUUUAAGCGUAUAGGUAAUGUGUUCCGAGGUAAAUCCGGUUCCCACUUUAACACUGAGGCGUGAUGCGCACGUGCUGAAACGCUCAAGCUGCCUACUUCGAGGAAAACCUCUAAGCAUCAGGUAACAUCAAAUCGUACCCCAAACCGACACAGGUGGUCAGGUAGAAACCACCAAGAGCGCUUGAGAGAACUCGGGUGGGUGAAGGAACUAGGCAAAAUGGUGCGCUUCGGGAGAAGACGCAUGACACGUAGGUGAAGUGAUUUUACUCAUGGAGUAGAAUUGACCGAAGGUAGCGGCAACUGUUUUAUUAAAAGCACAGCGCGCUGCUGCAAACGUGGACAUUAUACGGUGUGACGCCUGCCCGGUGCCGGAAGGUUGAAGAUUAUUAAGGGUCAGCAAGCCAGCUCUGAUCGAAGCCCCGGUAAACGGCGGCCGCUAACUAUAACGGUCUAAGGUAGCGAAAUUCCUUGUCGGGUAAGUUCAAACCUGCAGCGGAAAAUGGCGUAAUGAUGGCGGGCGCAAUGCUCCACCCGAGACUCAGUGAAGUGAACUCUUCGAAGAUGCAGUGUGUACCGCGGCAAGUGGAAAGACCCCGUGAACGCGCACCAACUUGACGCUGAACAUUGAGCCUUGAUGCUUGGCCAGGAUAGGUGGGAGAGCUUUGAAGUGUGGACGCCAGUGCGCCGGGGCGCGGCGCGCGAAAUACCACUGCUAUGUUUGAUGUUCUAACGUGGACCCGUGAUCCGGGUUGCGGACAGUGUCUGGUGGGUAGUUUGACUUCAGGGCGGUCUCCUCCUAAGAGUAACGGAGCACGAAAGGUUGAAUGCUGGUCGGACAUCAGGAGGUUAGUGCAAUGGCAUAAGCCAACGACCGCGAGCGUGACGGCGCGAGCAGGUGCGGCAGGUCUGCCAACCGUCCGGUGGGUUCUGGUGGAAGGGCCAUCGCUCAACGGAUGGGUACUCCGGGAUAACUGGGCUGAUACCGCCAGAGUUCAUAUCGACGGCGGUGUUUGGCACUCGGUAUGGCUCAUGCAUGCUGUAGAACGGUAGUCCCAAGAAGGGUAUGGCUGUUCGCCAUUUAAAGUGGUACGCGAGCUGGGUUUAGAACGUCGUGAACAGUUCGGUCCCUGCGCAGUGGGCGCUGGAGAACUGAGGGGCUGCUCUGGUGCGAGGACCGGAGUGGACGCAUCACUGGUGUUCGGGUUGUGCCAAUGGCUGCCCGGUAGCUAAAUGCGGAAGAAGAUAAGUGCUGAAAGCAUCUAAGCACGAAACUUGCCCCGAGAUGAGUUCUCCCUGAGACUUUAGGUCUCCCUGAAGGGCGUUGAAGGCGACGACGUUGAUGAGCCGGGUGUGUAAGCAGCGAUGCGUUGAAGCUAACCGGUACUAAUGAACCGUGAGCUUAACCUU
This 2932-nucleotide ribosomal RNA is filed under the name Salmonella enterica subsp. enterica. RNAcentral describes it as "23S ribosomal RNA". It matches the Rfam family "Bacterial large subunit ribosomal RNA". Lineage: Bacteria; Pseudomonadati; Pseudomonadota; Gammaproteobacteria; Enterobacterales; Enterobacteriaceae. The record is from RNAcentral.